This 235-nucleotide ribosomal RNA is filed under the name uncultured Lactobacillus sp. RNAcentral describes it as "partial 16S ribosomal RNA". It matches the Rfam family "Bacterial small subunit ribosomal RNA", at positions 128 to 355 of the family's 1533-position model. The record is from RNAcentral. Lineage: Bacteria; Bacillati; Bacillota; Bacilli; Lactobacillales; Lactobacillaceae.
GCCCAAGAGAUCGGGAUAACACCUGGAAACAAGAUGCUAAUACCGGAUAACAACAGAUGAUGCCUAUCAACUGUUUAAAAGAUGGUUCUGCUAUCACUCUUGGAUGGACCUGCGGUGCAUUAGCUAGUUGGUAGGGUAACGGCCUACCAAGGCGAUGAUGCAUAGCCGAGUUGAGAGACUGAUCGGCCACAUUGGGACUGAGACACGGCCCAAACUCCUACGGGAGGCAGCAGCC